AUGGGAACGCGAAGAACCUUACCUACUCUUGACAUCCAGAGAACUUAGCAGAGAUGGAUUGGUGCCUUCGGGAACUCUGAGACAGGUGCUGCAUGGCUGUCGUCAGCUCGUGUCGUGAGAUGUUGGGUUAAGUCCCGCAACGAGCGCAACCCUUAUUACUAGUUGCUACCAUUAAGUUGAGCACUCUAGUGAGACUGCCCGGGUUAACCGGGAGGAAGGCGGGGAUGACGUCAAAUCAUCAUGGCCCUUACGAGUAGGGCUACACACGUGCUACAAUGGCGCAUACAAAGAGAAGCGACCUCGCGAGAGCAAGCGGACCUCAUAAAGUGCGUCGUAGUCCGGAUUGGAGUCUGCAACUCGACUCCAUGAAGUCGGAAUCGCUAGUAAUCGUAGAUCAGAAUGCUACGGUGAAUACGUUCCCGGGUCUUGUACACACCGAGUCGUGGGGAGGGC
RNAcentral lists this ribosomal RNA (453 nucleotides) under uncultured bacterium. Its description in RNAcentral is "bacterial SSU rRNA". It matches the Rfam family "Bacterial small subunit ribosomal RNA", at positions 954 to 1409 of the family's 1533-position model. The record is from RNAcentral.